This 450-nucleotide ribosomal RNA is filed under the name uncultured bacterium. Its description in RNAcentral is "bacterial SSU rRNA". It matches the Rfam family "Bacterial small subunit ribosomal RNA", at positions 354 to 796 of the family's 1533-position model. The record is from RNAcentral.
GUGGGGAAUAUUGGACAAUGGGCGCAAGCCUGAUCCAGCAAUGCCGCGUGCAGGAAGAAGGCCUUCGGGUUGUAAACUGCUUUUGUACGGAACGAAACGGUCCGGGUUAAUACCCUGGGCUAAUGACGGUACCGUAAGAAUAAGCACCGGCUAACUACGUGCCAGCAGCCGCGGUAAUACGUAGGGUGCAAGCGUUAAUCGGAAUUACUGGGCGUAAAGCGUGCGCAGGCGGUUUUGUAAGACAGGCGUGAAAUCCCCGGGCUCAACCUGGGAAUUGCGCUUGUGACUGCAAGGCUGGAGUGCGGCAGAGGGGGAUGGAAUUCCGCGUGUAGCAGUGAAAUGCGUAGAUAUGCGGAGGAACACCGAUGGCGAAGGCAAUCCCCUGGGCCUGCACUGACGCUCAUGCACGAAAGCGUGGGGAGCAAACAGGAUUAGAUACCCGGGUAGUCC